This 2771-nucleotide ribosomal RNA is filed under the name Triticum aestivum (bread wheat). Its description in RNAcentral is "partial small subunit ribosomal RNA". Lineage: Eukaryota; Viridiplantae; Streptophyta; Magnoliopsida; Poales; Poaceae. The record is from RNAcentral.
GACUGAGGGUUCGUUGAAUGUGAGCAGCAAACCAUCUAGAAAUUCAUGCACUUCAACCGGGUCGACUCUGUCUUCUCGCUCCCAGCUCACUGCUCUGCUCCCUCCCUUUCUUCUCCUCGAUGUCCAUUGCCCCGCACACCAUUCUGCGCCCGUUCGGCGUGAAACCGUGCGCCGCCGGCGGCGGCUAUCUGAGGCGGCACGCACGGCCGUGCCUCCUCCGUGCGAGCCCCGUCAGUGCACCGGACGGGAAUGAGCCGGGCGGUAGCAAGAAGAGUAGGAGGAAGAGGCCGGCGGAGGAGUCGCGGUUGGAGGUUCUUUACGAUGACGGGUUCGGGAGCGUCACCAUGAAGGACUAUUGGGAGGCGGUGAGGGCCAUGCCCAAGGACGACGGCGGGCCGCCGCGGUGGUUCUGCCCAGUGGAGUGCGGCCGGCCGGAGGUGGACAGGGCGCCGCUGCUGCUCUUCUUGCCAGGAAUCGAAGGUGUUGGAAUGGAGCUCAUUUUGCACCACAAAUCUUUGGGCAAAGUAUUCGAGGUUUGCUGCUUCCAUAUACCAGUAAAUGACCGUACACCAUUUCAAGGUUUAUUACAAAUUGUGGAAGAAUAUGUCAAACAUGAGAAUGCUUUGUCCCCAAGCAGACCAAUAUAUAUAAUUGGGGAUUCUUUUGGUGGAUGUCUUGCAAUUUCAGUGGCAGCUCACAAUCCAGAAAUCGACUUGGUUCUUACACUAGUAAAUCCAGCAACAUCAUCUGCAAAAGCUUCGUUGCAGGCAGUAUUGCCUCUUUUGGAAGUAGUGGCGACCAACCUUCCAUUUAUACAUCCUCACCUUCUCAAAUAUUCAAUGGGUAAUCCUCUUAAUAUGGCUAUGGUUAGCCUUGAGAAUAGUCUUUCUCCACAAGAGACUCUACAAGAAUUUUCAAACAAACUCACUUCAAUGCUACCUUUAGUUUCCGAACUAGAAGAUAUAAUACCAAUGGGUGCCCUCAUGUGGAGACUUAAUCUUCUCAAGUCAGGUGCAGACUAUGCCAACUCACAACUUCACAUGGUACAAGGAGAAGUUCUACUUCUUGCAAGUGGGAGUGGGAAUCUGCCACCUAGUGGAGAAGCAGACCGACUAUUUAAGUCACUGAAAAAUUGCAAAGUUCGGUACUUUAGGAACCGGGGCGACAGACUACUCAUGGAGGAUGGCUUCAACCUUCUAACUGUCAUAAAAGGGGUAAAAAUGUACCGCCGUGGUAGACAAUGGGACUGUGUGAACGAUUUCCUGUCACCCACAUUAAGUGAAUUCAACAGAACAUUUGGUGAAGAUUUCAAACUGUUUCAUCAGUUAUUGAGCCCAGCCAUGCUCUCUACAAUGAAAAAUGGGAAAAUUGUCCAUGGCCUUGCCGGUGUUCCUGACAAAGGUCCUGUCUUGUUUGUGGGAUAUCACCAACUCUUGGCCAUGGAGUGGGCUGCACUAAUCGAAGGGUUCUUAAGGGAGAAAAGAACAGUUAUCCGAACAGGGGCCCAUCAAGUAUUUUUUGCUGGAAAUUAUGAGACACUACGCCAGGAGUUGUCUCUGUUUGAUUUUGUUUCUAUGUACGGCGCGGUUCCAGUCAGUCCGAUCAAUACGUACAAAUUGUUUGAGAGAAAUGAAUUUGUUCUCCUCUAUCCAGGCGGUGUGAGAGAAGCUCUACAUAGGAAGGGCGAAGCAUACAAAUUGUUUUGGCCAGAUCAAACCGAAUUUGUAAGAAUGGCAGCACGGUUUGGAGUUACCGUCAUACCAUUUGGUUGUGUGGGAGAAGAUGACUUUUUGGAGAUAGUUGUGGACUACAAUGAUCAAAAGAACAUACCCUAUAUCAGAGACGAGAUAAAGUCAUUCAACAGAGAUUUAACAAGAUUAAGGUUAGGUUUCUAUUACACUGUCCAUUUUUCCUUCGAUAAACAAACAAUCAAGUAUCUCCUUAGAAAGUUAGUUACCAAUCUCAAGCCUUGGUGCCACUUCACCUCCAUUAUAUGAGGAAUAAAAACCUUGGUCACCUUCUUUGUGAAUUUUGGUUUCAGGGACACUGUGAAAGGAGAGGAUGGGAAUCAAGUCUUGCAUCUGCCUGUUGUUCUGCCAAAAUUACCAGGGCGGCUAUAUUUCCUAUUUGGGAAGCCAAUCGAGAUGAAAGGAAUGGACAAUGUGUUGACAGAUAGGAAGAAGGCAAACCAAGUAUAUUUUCAAAUUGAAACAGAAGUGGAGAAUGCAAUAUCUUACCUAAAGAGGAAGAGAAACGAAGAUCCUUACCGGAGUAUUGCACGACGUGCGUUGUACCAGGCAACUUGGGGUCCUUCUGCUCAAGUGCCUACUUUCGAACCGUGAAAGAUUGGGUUAGGGCUUGUUUGCUUAGGCUAACUAGGCCAUGACUUUCAUGUUUAAUUGUCAGUUGAGCCAACUUCCAUGGACUUAGCACGAUGAAAGAAACCAAGUUGGGACCAAUCUAAUGAAGUUACGAGAACCAGAAUCAUGCCUUUUGGAGAGAUCAUGGUGAUGUGUGUGAUAUGAAGGUGUGGCAGUACUCACAUAUCUAAUUAUUGACUCCGUGCUCACAUAGUUCGUAUCCCAUAGAUGUGUCUUUACUAAAGGUUGUGUACCUACACAAUUAAGUAUCUUAAAUAGUAGUGAAAACUCUAGACUCUCUGAGAACGCAUUCCCAUCAUUUGCAGUUCCUCUCUAGUUACUCUGUCAUUUAGUCUUAGUAUUUAUUUGACAUUCUAGUUCAUACUUAGUUAAUUCACUUAUUUAGCAUAC